UACGGGAGGCAGCAGUGGGGAAUAUUGCACAAUGGGCGAAAGCCUGAUGCAGCUAUGCCGCGUGUAUGAAGAAGGCCUUAGGGUUGUAAAGUACUUUCAUCGGGGAGGAAAAACAAAACUAAUAAUUUUAUUUCUUGACGUUACCCGAAAAAGAAGCACCGGCUAACUCCGUGCCAGCAGCCGCGGUAAUACGGAGGGUGCUAGCGUUAAUCAGAAUUACUGGGCGUAAAGAGCACGUAGGUGGUUUUUUUAAGUCAGAUGUGAAAUCCCUGGGCUUAACCUAGGAACUGCAUUUUGAAACUGAAAUACUAGAGUAUCGUAGAGGGAGGUAGAAUUCUAGGUGUAGCGGUGAAAUGCGUAGAUAUCUGGAGGAAUACCUGUUGCGAAAGCGGCCUCCUAAACGAAUACUGACACUGAGGUGCGAAAGCGUGGGGAGCAAACAGGGAUUAGAUACC
RNAcentral lists this ribosomal RNA (455 nucleotides) under uncultured bacterium. RNAcentral describes it as "bacterial SSU rRNA". It matches the Rfam family "Bacterial small subunit ribosomal RNA", at positions 340 to 786 of the family's 1533-position model. The record is from RNAcentral.